ACGGGAGGCAGCAGUGAGGAAUAUUGCACAAUGGGGGAAACCCUGAUGCAGCGACGCCGCGUGAGUGAAGAAGUAUUUCGGUAUGUAAAGCUCUAUCAGCAGGGAAGAAAAUGACGGUACCUGACUAAGAAGCCCCGGCUAACUACGUGCCAGCAGCCGCGGUAAUACGUAGGGGGCAAGCGUUAUCCGGAUUUACUGGGUGUAAAGGGAGCGUAGACGGCAAGACAAGUCUGGAGUGAAAUUCCGGGGCUCAACCCCGGAACUGCUUUGGAAACUGUUUAGCUGGAGUAUCGGAGAGGUAAGCGGAAUUCCUAGUGUAGCGGUGAAAUGCGUAGAUAUUAGGAGGAACACCAGUGGCGAAGGCGGCUUACUGGACUGUAACUGACGUUGAGGCUCGAAAGCGUGGGGAGCAAACAGGAUUAGAUACCCUGGUA
This 434-nucleotide ribosomal RNA is filed under the name uncultured Lachnospiraceae bacterium. Its description in RNAcentral is "bacterial SSU rRNA". It matches the Rfam family "Bacterial small subunit ribosomal RNA", at positions 341 to 792 of the family's 1533-position model. Lineage: Bacteria; Bacillati; Bacillota; Clostridia; Lachnospirales; Lachnospiraceae. The record is from RNAcentral.